This 558-nucleotide unclassified non-coding RNA is filed under the name Bombus terrestris (buff-tailed bumblebee). RNAcentral's name for it is "misc RNA ENSBTSG00005036195.1". Lineage: Eukaryota; Metazoa; Arthropoda; Insecta; Hymenoptera; Apidae. The record is from RNAcentral.
UCAGAAUAUAAGCGGAACACUUUAGAAAGAAGUGGCCCAGACUAUAGCUUUCAACCGUUUCAAUGGCGUUCUCGCAACUCUUGCCUCGGUUUCAGAAAGGAACCGAACUAAUUCUAAAGACGUGCAGAGAAUGAAACAUCCGCGUGGUGGUGACUAUUAAAAACGUCGAACGUGGAGAAGAGGGAUGGCGGACUGGCAAUUGCUUCGUCUCGCUAAUAAAAGUAGAAAAAUAUCGCGUGAGUGAAAAAUUAAUUUAACAAGGAUCUUUUCAGUCGCGUCUAUUGUUCGGUCUGGAGGGAAUGAAGAAUAUGAUUGUGUUCGGUGCAUUGUGUUUUCAAGACUUUAAUUCGUUUCUUGUGUAUUUCGGCUUCUUCGUUGGAACUCGCAGUUCGAAGAAUUUUUUGGCCGAAUAUGUUGCACGUUUAUUCAAAAUUCGUCGCUUCUCGAGAAGGGUAAGGGACGUACAAUUAGCUAGCCGUUAGUUGGGUCGUUUCUCACACUGGCAAACGACUUGACGAUCGAACGACACGUCGUCACUGCGCUGAUAAAUUAAUAGGA